CCCUAUUCCUCUUUCCUUUUAAACCAAAAAGAAAACCCUAAUCCCUACACUUUCACUUUCUCUCUCUUUCUCGCUCCCCCCAUGAACUGAUCGCCGGCGGCGGACAAUCAAAUGUAGCUGCCACGGCCGCUUGUCACCGACGAGACCACCAUCGGGAACAGCGUUUCAACUACCGCCGCAAUAAUCAUUUUCUCCUCUCACUCUCUCUAGGUCUUGUAGGGCUUCGAUUGAGAAGAAUCCCAAAAUGCAACUCCAAAACCCUCAAAAAACCCAUCUAUCAAAAACCCUUCUCCCAAAAAUAUGAAGUUUGUGACGACUCAGAUUUCAAUUUCGUUGAUCUACACCUAUUCUAGAGUGUAGAAUAGAAGAAUAGAUACCCUGCUCUUAAGAAAUGCUCACAAGUUGGUGGUCGAAUCAUCAAUCUGGGACAACUCAAGGAUAGCCAUUGUCUGGUUCUCAAAAGUGUUGUUGUUUCGUUCUCCCCAAAUGGCAAGUACAUACUCAACAUAUAUCAUCCUUAGCGUUCUAGUCUGCUUGGAUCUCCCUUCGUUUCUUUGAAAAAGCCACUGCUGAUGUUGAUUCCAUGAACUAGUAGGGUGGACAGGGAUCUUCAUCCACUUAAUCAGAUAUGCGCAUAAUCGCUUGGCAGCAAAGAUACAUCCAAAAAAGAAGUGGUCUCUUGAUUCUGUUAAAUUACCACACAUCACACAUAUUGGGUGCACAGACAUACCCCAGCUGAUUAAACGAUCAAACACUUAGAAGCCUAUCCUACAGUUAAAGCCACAUGAUAAAGAUGGCUUUGGGUCUUGCAAUAUUAUAGAACAUAAGACUUUUCCAUUCAACUCUUGAAAUGUCGCCUAUCAUUUGCAGGUACAUCGUUGGAAUCCAACUAUGCUUAGAAGAUGUUUUUGUUGUAAAGUGUCAAUCCUGUUUCGGGACUCAAUUAUUUUUUUCACCAUUCAAUUAUUAACUUUUAAUUUUAAAUAAUCUAAGGUUACACGUGUGAGACACACAUGUGGUUAAACUAAUACUAUAUUAAAAAUGAAAAGUCUCAAAAUUGAGUUUGUGGAGUUUGAA
This is a long non-coding RNA of Capsicum annuum, 1077 nucleotides long. RefSeq lists it as uncharacterized. The record is from RefSeq and is a predicted model, not a curated record. Lineage: Eukaryota; Viridiplantae; Streptophyta; Magnoliopsida; Solanales; Solanaceae. The transcript is spliced from 2 exons.